UGUUAUGGCGGCUGUGCGCGGGAGACUUUCGAGUCUGCCGGGUUUCUCCGUUCCCCGGGUUCCAACCUGCGUACAGCUGCCACCCCU
This 87-nucleotide non-coding RNA is filed under the name Pseudomonas sp. 29. The record is from RNAcentral. RNAcentral also lists the same sequence under 1 other name. Lineage: Bacteria; Pseudomonadati; Pseudomonadota; Gammaproteobacteria; Pseudomonadales; Pseudomonadaceae.